UUUUUUAUAAAUAUCUAACUUCCAAAAUUACAUUUUUUUUUCUCUUGAAAAACAUCCAUUAUAUAGAAGAAUCUAUUUAGUUGAUUAUAUUUAAAGAAAAAAUUAAUUAUAAUUUUUUGAAUCUACACUUAAUUACUAUGUUUUACUAAAUUUGUAUUACAAAAUAAUUAAGUAUAAUCUUAAGUAGAUAAGAUAGUCAUUUGUAGUUAUUAUUAAUGAGAAAUUUAAUUGUCUUCUUCAAUAAAGAGAUUUAUUUUAAGCGAAAAAAACAAUUUUUCAAAGGUAUGCAUUGGUAUAUUGUGUACAUAAUUGAGUUCGGGAAGGAGUGUAGGUUAUAUAUAUAUAUAUAUGUAGAACAUAAUUUGUAUGGUAUAGUAAUGAAAACACUAUUAAUGUAUAAAAACGAAAUUAAAAUAUUAAUGUAUAAAAAUGAAACUGUAAUUUUUUUAAUUAACUGAACAAUAUUUUAAAAAAAUAAAAUUCAAUACACACAUAAAUAUACACAAAAACACUUUUAUUUUCCUUGGUAGCCAAAAAGUUUGUAUUUUAGUAGUUCAAGGAGUUUGGGAAAUAGAAAAAAGUUACUUAUGUUUUGGAGGGAAAAGUAUGAUGGAAUAAAUGCAAAAAUUGAAAUAAGGAUAUUAUAGUCUUUUUGCCUUUCUGGCCAAAUUCUGGCCAAUUUUUUCUGGCCAUUUAGCAUUACCC
This 705-nucleotide long non-coding RNA is filed under the name Solanum tuberosum (potato). RNAcentral's name for it is "long non-coding RNA (STUB_LNC003147)". The record is from RNAcentral. Lineage: Eukaryota; Viridiplantae; Streptophyta; Magnoliopsida; Solanales; Solanaceae.